This is a non-coding RNA of Phalacrocorax carbo (great cormorant), 2252 nucleotides long. NCBI's taxonomy places the organism in Eukaryota, Metazoa, Chordata, Aves, Suliformes, Phalacrocoracidae. The record is from RefSeq and is a predicted model, not a curated record.
CAGAUAUUAAAGCAAACAAAAGUAAUGCCCUAAGACAAAAUUUAUGUUUUAGGAAACACUUAUACCUCUCAUUGCUUUCAGGAGAAUUCCCACAAACAUAUCUGCAGCUCAGAGGACAGAAUUUCUCCAGGCAGAGACAUUUUAUUCAGAAUAAAAUACAGGUGGGGUUAGUAAAGGUGACUAGUGACAUUUGCGAAAACAUGAGUAUUCUCAGUUACAUUACUGACUCAGAACUCACAUAACUGAUAGACACAGUCAUGAAUCAAAGCAUGACAGGGGAAGAAGAAGGAAAAACAGGUUAGGGGAACAGGAAUCGGGCAAGAUUAGAAGAACAAGGUUUUGUAUAAAAUCUGGCAACGAUUUGGGAGAGAUUAGUAUCAGACAUGACCCUGUAUUCUAACUUUUUUGCAAGAGUUUGUUACUCAUUUUCACAGUAGCGGGAAUGUCCAGCAGCACAUUUUCUCUGUGUCUUUGCAGUUUGAAGAGAAAGCCAUGAGGAAAUGUAUAUUGAAGAACUGGGGCAAUGUUUGAAGAACACUGAAGAAAAAAGAAGGAAGGAAAUAUAAGCAGCAAAGAUUUCAAGCAAAUGAGCAAAGUUCCUCUUCUACACCUGCACCUGAUCACUUAAGAAGAGAGAGGACGAAAAAAAGGCAAUCUUUCAUGAAUGGGCUGGUCCGGUGGCAUUUCUUCGUGGUGCACAAGCAUCUGUGUUUAAAGUAAUAAGACCUAGUUCAUUGCUGCAGAAUUCAGAGAAUUCACUCUAAAUGGGAAUGGAACGUAAGAUGUCCUUAGGGAUACUCACAAACCACAGGAGAGCCGUGAACAGCAAAGGCAAAAGGCUGCUGGAAAAAACCAAAACAGGAAGAAGAGGAAACAACUAAAAGGAAGCAGAGAGCACUGGGAAAGACCAACCUUUACCAAAUACUGGCUGGAAUUUUCCAAAGAGUUUGGGGGAAACACUAUGAGAAUUUCCAACAUUGCCAUUCAACCUCUGAAGUUUCCCCUUGUCUAAAAUCUGGGAAUACUACAGCAAGUCAUGUUUGCUUUUAGGGAACAGAUUUGCUCUGGGAAAAAUACUAUGAGAAACAGGAAGAAGAACUGUUUGUUUUGUUUAGUAAAUUCUGAAGGGAAGAAAUAGCCUGCCUUUUUCUCCCUAAGUCAAAAGUUCCCAAGAUGCUUCUCUCUCAGCUUAUCUUAUCACCCCUGAUUACUUUCUGGCUUUUUGAGAUGUUUUUUGUAAGCGUAUCAGUAAGCUUAAGCCCUUUCCUGCCCCCUCGUGAAUUAUUAUUGUUUAGAUUUUGGCAGAAUGUAGAGAUCCCUAUGAAGAUUGUGGCUGUAUUGCCUUAAGUGGAUAUUAUUCCUGCCUGAUUGCUGUGGGAUACUUAGAGGUCAAAUACAUAAAGAGUUGAAAAAGAAGAUUUGACAGUCUCAUGGAGGAAAGGCCCAGCAGGAGUCGUUUGGCCUUCAGCAAUCCCAGAACUGCUGUCUGCUGGGAAUUUGAAAGUUCAAACAGGUUCUAGUGCAGAGUGAACCGGUGAACCAGUCAUCUCAGGGAACUCGGUGUUUGCCCUGCUCCUGGAUACCCUGCACACCUGUACAGGGAAGAAAGCUCACAGGAGCUGGAAGUCUUGCAGAACAGACCCCUAGCCUCAUCCUGUUUUCCAGAGUUCAAAGUAACCAUUUACCUAUUCAAGGGGAACAUUGGGGAGAAUAAGAAAUGCUUAUAAAAUGAUGCAGUGAUACAGACUGCUCUCUUGCUGACGUGGUUAUUGGCUGAGCCUUUCUUUGUGCUCAGACAUACAAAUACAAUUAGAAAAGGUUCCAGGGACCAGCUUCAUUCACCACCCGGCUCAGUUAAAAUUUUGAUACUUAAGCAAAUAUAUACCACACCAUGUAGGUUUGAUUUGGAUAUGAGUAUAUAUAACCAAUAUAGUCUUUUCUAGAACAUAAGACAACAUUUAGUUUUAAAAAUCUUUCUGAAACACAUUACUGUUGACCAUUAUAAUGCACUCUAAUGCAAAGGAAUCAAUAGCCUUUACACCACAGAUAGUUUGUUGUACACAGCAAAUGAAUAAUACAAAAUUCUGUGCCCUUAACAGCCCGAUAUUAAGACUUCAGAAUUUGUAUAAAUCAGAAUGCUUUUUGCAUUUCCUGAAAGAUAGUGCCACAAGUAGUACAGACAGAAAACUACUAUUUAUUCUUCAACCAAUUAAUUGGGUUUUUUCUUAAAUAAAAUAUUUGCAAUUGAUUUU